Long non-coding RNA from Patiria miniata (bat star), 2615 nucleotides. RefSeq lists it as uncharacterized. The record is from RefSeq and is a predicted model, not a curated record. The transcript is spliced from 3 exons. Lineage: Eukaryota; Metazoa; Echinodermata; Asteroidea; Valvatida; Asterinidae.
UGGCACUGACAGUUGCUCGAGUAAUUGGGAUAAAUUGGUUUUUCGCAAAUCCAACACGUGUUUGUUUUAUCAUGAUGUUUUUUAUCUCGCUCAGUAAAUUCCAUGGGUAUGGGAUCAGCAAAUAUGCAAUUAAUAUCACGUUGUAAUUGUAACAUCUGCUCUACAAACUUAGUUGUGGCGUCUUUGCCCCUGUAAGUUUCUCCAUACAUAUUGUCACCAUCACAUCUAACGACUACCAACGAAUAACCGCUUGCUUUGUGAAUGUUUGUCUUUUGCGUGUUUUCCUUUUUAUCGUGCUGAUUUUUUUCUAGUACCGAUUCAAAGUCGGCGUAAAUGACAAAUGGUGCGUCCUGUGCAAAUCUGUGGUUUUCUCGGGAAAAACGAUUUUAGACGGAGGUUUGUCUAUUCCCUCACAAUCUUGUUUGUGUCUGUCUAGUUUUUCUUGCGUUCCGCAGUGUGACAAACAUCUUCGACAGAAAUAUUUCUUGUGUCGAUCUGCCGUUACGGUAUAAAAUAAUCUUGAAAAUAGUUUUAUCCAACAGUAGUGACUCUUAUCACCGUUGGAAAACAACAACAGAUCGAUAGCCUCAACGGUAGGAUCUGUGUUUUUAGAUAAUGCCAAUACAUGUAUGUUAUCUUGUUCAGUAUAACCAAAAACGUUUAUUGAUAGAUUAUUUUGUCUUUCUACCCUAUACAUUUGAUCCACUGGUGUGGGAAAGUCUAUAUUUUCGAAUUUCAAUCCAUUGUUCGUGUUGUAUAUCGUAGUUCUCUCUUCAUGGACCUGAUAUUUUGGGUUGUUUUCGAUUCGCUUUUUUACUUUGUCCGAAUAUUUACCAAGAGCGGCUCUCAAACACCAUCUCAAACAUUCGUUGUCUUUGUUUUGUACGUUGAUAAUCGCCUUUUUAUUUUUGAGAUAGUCGGGUAGCUCUACGUAAGAACUACCUUCUGCUUGAGCAUAACGGUUUACGUUAAUGUAAAACGCGAGUAUUUUAUCGACUACCCAACCUGAUCCUCGAUUUGUAUGACUCGCGUGUUUUUCUUUUACUUGAUCGAUCGCUUCUUUAAGAAUUUGCUUUACCCGACUCUCCCUCAAAAUAACCACAUUGUUACUGAUAAAGGUAAAUUCAGCAGUCACCCGUUCUCCAUCAGGUACAUUUUUAACGUAUCUCACUGUAAUCGCAAUCUGAACCUUUAUGUUAGUGAGUUCUCUCAGUUCUGAUACGACUUUGCUUUCGAUCUGUCGCUCGUGAGUGCGACAAAACAGUUCAACGUCAUUAUUAAACUGUCUCGGAAUCAGUUCCCAGUUUCGAAAGUUAUUUCUAAACCUUCUCGUACCUCUGAAGUCAGCCUCUUGAAAAUGUUCGGGAGAUUUAAAUCUCUUGAUCGCUGAGAAUAAAUCUUUUUUCAAAAAUCGACCAUUAUAACCUGUCGGUACGUAUUCUAGAUUUUGUUCGUCUACAAUCUGUUUGAGCUCAUGUAGUGUCUUUUUCCUCAAGUUUUUAAAUUUACUCUCUUCAACCCUUAUGGCUUGAAUAUAGUCUUGACGAGUAUAAUUUUCUCGUUCAUCGAUCGCUAUAUUAUUUUGAUCAACGUAACUCUUCAAUGCAGCUUUAACCCACCGCGAAUAGCCUUUAGGUGAUGGCUUUGAGUUGGUCUCCAUUUAAUAUAUAGAGAUAUUAUCUCUUCAAAUAUGGACUAGAUAAUAUUUUUUUGAUUUAAUUUUUUUUAAUAAAACCAAAAUGUUUAUCCACUGACUUCAGAAUUAGACUCGGGAAUAAAGAGGGCCAACUUUGAAUUACAAGUACAUGGGAAGUGAGUUGACACUAUUCGAGAGUGCAUGAGAAUGCAUAUGAAUAGAUUUUGAGCGGCCUUGACCGGUCAAAUCUAUCAUGCUUGAAAUGGGAAUUUUCCAGUACAAGUACACACAAUUGUGUAUUGUGUAAUAUUCUCAAAAUUCCGAAAACAACAACCAAAAAUAACCUACGUCAUUGUAACUAUGAAACACCGUGAUAAUCAUGACAAAUCAAACAGUUUACUAGAACUGGGGUUUUACACAACACACAAUUGUGCAAUGUGUUAUAGUCUCGAAUUGGAAUUUUCUAGAGAUUUCCAAAAUUGCAACCACAUAUGAAACACCGUGAUAAUCAUGACAAAUCAUUUUUUUGGUUAUAUAAGUAGACAAAUGAACAGCCCUGCCAUUCAACAGACAUUCUACCCAGCAGAUAGACGUUCAUCAGCCUAGCAGCAUCAACAACUGCAGUAAAAAUACAGAGCAGUAAUAUCUACACUUGUUUUAAUCAAGCAACCCCACUGAAAAGAUCCUAAAAGAGGAAUUGAGACACUACGUGAAAUCCAGCAAUCCAAACAAGUUGUCUGCACCAUCGAAAGAAACACUAUGGAGAUUCCAAGGCAGACCAUUGGUAUAACUCACGUUGAGGAGGGUCUAAACGAGGCAAACGGAAUCAUUUCCUCGUUCAGCGACUGGUGUGUUGUGGGAUUCGUUCAAUGCUUACAGGUAGUAGCACAGGCAAAGAACUGAUAUCGACUCCACAGUUUAAUGAUCACGUUGAAGCCCUUCAGCGCCGUUUUCGUAAUCCACCACCACUCCCCAUUUU